This 637-nucleotide ribosomal RNA is filed under the name uncultured bacterium. RNAcentral describes it as "bacterial SSU rRNA". The stretch from base 1 to 539 matches the Rfam family "Bacterial small subunit ribosomal RNA", at positions 338 to 873 of the family's 1533-position model. The record is from RNAcentral.
CCUACGGGAGGCAGCAGUAGGGAAUAUUGGACAAUGGGUGCGAGCCUGAUCCAGCCAUGCCGCGUGCAGGAAGAAGGCCUUCUGGGGUUUGUAAAACUGCUUUUGCCGGGGGAUAAAAGACCCAUGCGUGGGGAAUUGAAGGUACCCGGUGAAUAAGCCACGGCUAACUACGUGCCAGCAGCCGCGGUAAUACGUAGGUGGCGAGCGUUGUCCGGAUUUAUUGGGUUUAAAGGGUGCGUAGGCGGCCCCGUAAGUCAGUGGUGAAAUACGGCAGCUCAACUGUCGAGGUGCCAUUGAUACUGCGGGGCUUGAGUACAGUCGAGGUAGGCGGAAUUGACGGUGUAGCGGUGAAAUGCUUAGAUAUCGUCAAGAACACCGAUAGCGAAGGCAGCUUGCUAGGCUGUAACUGACGCUGAGGCACGAAAGUGCGGGGGAUCAAACAGGAUUAGAUACCCUGGUAGUCCGCACAGUAAACGAUGGUCACUCGUGUUGGUCGGUACGACGCCGAGCGCCUACGACGAAGACGUAGUAGACCGACCGNGGGAGGUACGCCGCCGAAGGGUAAGGUAAACGUUAAAGGUUAAAGUUAGUACGGCGUUGAGACGUUGCCGACGGACGACGACGAGGGGAGGUUAGG